RNAcentral lists this ribosomal RNA (497 nucleotides) under uncultured bacterium. RNAcentral describes it as "partial 16S ribosomal RNA". It matches the Rfam family "Bacterial small subunit ribosomal RNA", at positions 28 to 507 of the family's 1533-position model. The record is from RNAcentral.
GAUGAACGCUGGCGGCGUGCCUAAUACAUGCAAGUCGAGCGAACAGACGAGGAGCUUGCUCCUCUGACGUUAGCGGCGGACGGGUGAGUAACACGUGGAUAACCUACCUAUAAGACUGGGAUAACUUCGGGAAACCGGAGCUAAUACCGGAUAAUAUAUUGAACCGCAUGGUUCAAUAGUGAAAGACGGUUUUGCUGUCACUUAUAGAUGGAUCCGCGCCGCAUUAGCUAGUUGGUAAGGUAACGGCUUACCAAGGCAACGAUGCGUAGCCGACCUGAGAGGGUGAUCGGCCACACGGGAGCUGAGACACGGUCCAGGCUCCUACGGUAGGCAGCAGUAGGGAAUCGUCCGCAGUGGGCGGAAGCCUGACGGAGCAACGCCGCGUGAGUGAUGAAGGUCUUCGGAUCGUAAUACUCUGUUAUUAGGGAAGAACAAAUGUGUAAGUAACUAUGCACGUCUUGACGGUACCUGGUCAGAAAGCCACGGCUAACUACGUG